CUGAGGCGCGCCAAGCCGGUGGGCGGCCCCAGUGGCACUGGCCUCCCCUUCGGUCGUGAUUUUGUCACGUCCGCCCGGUCCCCGGGCCCUUCGCACUUCUGAGAGCCUCGCAGCGCCAACCUUUGCUGGGGCCACAAGAGUCUCCGGAGUGCAGAUUAUAAAUGGAGCCGACUGCUGGUGGACGGGUUCCUCAGCUCUUACCUAAAACCGGGAAUAAAAACGGAGUAACCGGCUUGCGAAAAAAAUCAAUGCAUUUGAGAUAUUGGUGGGGUUUUGGCCUUGCUGGGGACUGAAGUCGGCCUCGCUCGUCCUAAUCAACUAAUGGGUCUGAAAAUUAAAAAACAUUUGGAACUGAAGGAAUUGGUACAAUCGUGGUAAUAAAACUUCCACCCAAAUAAGGUCCUGCUGCAAGAGGUGAACCCUGAACCCUUUCGUGGAUGUGCUGUCAAGAUGAUCAAUGACCCAGCAAGUGACAUGGUCCAUUUCCAGUGAGCCCACCUCCAGCUCCCAGGGUCUCACAGCCUCCAGCCAGAGCUCGCCUGAUGCCUUUCUCUUCCUCUUUCCUCUUUCCACUGUCAAGCUCCCCACCCUUGCCCACCUUUGAGUUCUACUUUAA
Molecule: long non-coding RNA, 616 nt
Organism: Castor canadensis (American beaver)
Lineage: Eukaryota; Metazoa; Chordata; Mammalia; Rodentia; Castoridae
Source: RefSeq, a predicted model, not a curated record